GGGGGGAGAGGGGCCGGCCCACGGCGCCCCGGGGGGGGCAGCGGCAUGUGGUGGCGCCAUGCACUGGAGGUGGAGGGCGCGUACAUGGAAUUCUAGUGCAGGAAUGGCACCAUUGCAGCGAGCCCGCUCUGGAAGAUGUCAUUAACUGAGUGAACACUGCAAGACUGCACCAGGUACAGCACAUCUGCUGAAGGCACACCUUACUUCACGCUCCUACCAAGCAAUCCAGCCAAAGAUGUCAUGUUUGCGAAUCACAAGUCUAUUUCUUACAGAAGUCCUCUAUGCCUCCAACCAGAGGCUGGUCAGCCCCGAGCUUGCUUUUGGAUAUGACAUUUCUACUUCAGCAACACUCAGCAGAAAGCAAGCUACAGUUGCAUAGUGGAAAAUAUUUUAUGGCUGCUACUGGGAAAGACUGUGCUAACCAAAAGAAAUGAACUGACCAUUCAACGCCACCCCAAACUGAGACUUAAAACCUCCUACAUUUUGCUAUUAAAUCCAAUCUACAUUUUUAUGACAACAGUCCUGAAUUACUUAGUAUUUUUCAUACAGCUUUCUUGUUCAUUACACCAGAAGGCAGAGUUCAAUUUUAGAACACGGUCGUUGUUAAGAAAUUCUUAACAACAGUAUAAACCCCCCACCACUACCUCCUAAGUACAACCUGAAAGCUUUGUAGCAAGUUUUAGAAACCCAUAACUCAGAAUCUGAUGUAACACCUACUUACUGCUAACUGAGCUCUAAAUAAAGAGAGGCUCCCAAAGUUA
This is a long non-coding RNA of Corapipo altera (White-ruffed manakin), 761 nucleotides long. RefSeq lists it as uncharacterized. Lineage: Eukaryota; Metazoa; Chordata; Aves; Passeriformes; Pipridae. The record is from RefSeq and is a predicted model, not a curated record. The transcript is spliced from 2 exons.